UUCAAUGGACAUAAGACCUGGAUUACAAAAAUACAUAGUUCAAAAAAGGAAACCUAAAACAUGUCCCACUAUCAAUAAACACAUACAAGCAAAAGGUCUUAUUCACAUGUACAAGUCUUCGUCAACCAAAUCGAUCUCCUCCCAAUUGACAAUCCUUUAACUUAUACUCUACAGGGAUGGAAAAAGAAAAAUGAGUUAUAAAGCCCAAUAAGAGGAUCUAGAAGUUAUGCAUCUAUAACAUAUUUAUUAUGCCAUUAUAAUGAAUUCCUUUAUCUAUAAGCAAUCAUAAUGGAAAGAAUAUCAUGUUAGCAAUCUUCCAAUACAUUCAUCACAUAUGGCAUAUCGCAUAUCAUGCUUAUCAUAAAACUAGUAUCACUACCAGUAUUCACAAUCACACAUUCAAUUGAUAGCGACUCACUCAUUAGAUUCACCUACUCCCAAAGUAUAAGUCAUAUACAUCAAGCCAAGCCAAUCCCAUUAUUUAUGACUUCUACUAUUACUCCGGAGAGAGGGUAAUGACAAUGGCUGCCUCAUGCGGUAAUGCCCUCAUACUCACACACACAGUCCCCAUCGCGUUUUUGGGCUUUUGAUAUGUACUUGCCUUGUAAUACACAGUUUACUAUUUACUUAUUACAAUACACUGAAUUUCGGGGGGCACGACCCACCCAUUACACUUUUCACCUAUCUCCCCUCCUAUCAUACAGGGAGUUAGGAAACAUUGUCGGCCUUACUCUUUUAUCAAGUCACAUCAUACCACUACGGGUAACCCCGUGCGUGGUGUCAUUGAAUCACUUAACUAUUAUUAAACACAAUAGAGGGUCAUGCUUAGAGCAUGCUAUUAGAACACUCUUCAUUCAACAUUCAUCACUUUGGCAUUUAGGCCUUUC
This 887-nucleotide long non-coding RNA is filed under the name Amborella trichopoda. RNAcentral describes it as "long non-coding RNA (ATRI_LNC000052)". Lineage: Eukaryota; Viridiplantae; Streptophyta; Magnoliopsida; Amborellales; Amborellaceae. The record is from RNAcentral.